UNGAUUAUCCAUGUUUGCUACAAAGUUUA
Molecule: non-coding RNA, 29 nt
Filed under: Mus musculus (house mouse)
Lineage: Eukaryota; Metazoa; Chordata; Mammalia; Rodentia; Muridae
Source: RNAcentral